RNAcentral lists this ribosomal RNA (1426 nucleotides) under metagenome. RNAcentral describes it as "bacterial SSU rRNA". It matches the Rfam family "Bacterial small subunit ribosomal RNA". The record is from RNAcentral.
AGAGUUUGAUCCUGGCUCAGGAUGAACGCUGGCGGCGUGCUUAACACAUGCAAGUCGAACGAACCUUCGGGUUAGUGGCGGACGGGUGAGUAACGCGUGAGAAUCUGCCCUCAGGAGGGGGAUAACGGCUGGAAACGGCCGCUAAUACCCCAUAUGCCGAGAGGUGAAAUGAAUUUCGCCUGAGGAUGAGCUCGCGUCUGAUUAGCUAGUUGGUGGGGUAAGAGCCUACCAAGGCAUCGAUCAGUAGCUGGUCUGAGAGGAUGAUCAGCCACACUGGGACUGAGACACGGCCCAGACUCCUACGGGAGGCAGCAGUGGGGAAUUUUCCGCAAUGGGCGAAAGCCUGACGGAGCAACGCCGCGUGAGGGAUGAAGGCCUCUGGGCUGUAAACCUCUUUUAUCAAGGAAGAAGAUCUGACGGUACUUGAUGAAUAAGCCACGGCUAAUUCCGUGCCAGCAGCCGCGGUAAUACGGGAGUGGCAAGCGUUAUCCGGAAUUAUUGGGCGUAAAGCGUCCGCAGGCGGCCUGAUAAGUCUGUUGUCAAAGCGUGGAGCUUAACUCCAUUUCGGCAAUGGAAACUGUGAGGCUUGAGUGUGGUAGGGGCAGAGGGAAUUCCCGGUGUAGCGGUGAAAUGCGUAGAUAUCGGGAAGAACACCAGUGGCGAAGGCGCUCUGCUGGGCCAUAACUGACGCUCAUGGACGAAAGCCAGGGGAGCGAAAGGGAUUAGAUACCCCUGUAGUCCUGGCCGUAAACGAUGAACACUAGGUGUCGGGGGAAUCGACCCCCUCGGUGUCGUAGCCAACGCGUUAAGUGUUCCGCCUGGGGAGUACGCACGCAAGUGUGAAACUCAAAGGAAUUGACGGGGGCCCGCACAAGCGGUGGAGUAUGUGGUUUAAUUCGAUGCAACGCGAAGAACCUUACCAGGGUUUGACAUCCUGCGAAUCCCUUGGAAACUAGGGAGUGCCUUCGGGAGCGCAGAGACAGGUGGUGCAUGGCUGUCGUCAGCUCGUGUCGUGAGAUGUUGGGUUAAGUCCCGCAACGAGCGCAACCCACGUCUUUAGUUGCCAGCAUUGAGUUGGGCACUCUAGAGAGACCGCCGGUGAUAAACCGGAGGAAGGUGUGGAUGACGUCAAGUCAUCAUGCCCCUUACAUCCUGGGCUUCACACGUACUACAAUGCUACGGACAAAGGGCAGCAAACUCGCGAGAGCUAGCAAAUCCCAUAAACCGUGGCUCAGUUCAGAUCGUAGGCUGCAACUCGCCUACGUGAAGGAGGAAUCGCUAGUAAUCGCAGGUCAGCAUACUGCGGUGAAUACGUUCCCGGGCCUUGUACACACCGCCCGUCACACCAUGGAAGUUGGCCACGCCCGAAGCCGUUACUCCAACCCUUGUGGAGGAGGACGUCGAAGGUGGGGCUGAUGACUGGGGU